This 473-nucleotide ribosomal RNA is filed under the name uncultured bacterium. RNAcentral describes it as "bacterial SSU rRNA". It matches the Rfam family "Bacterial small subunit ribosomal RNA", at positions 630 to 1102 of the family's 1533-position model. The record is from RNAcentral.
GAACUGAUGACUGAGGGCAGAAGAGGGGGAGGUGGACUCCCAGUGUAGCGGUGAAUGCGUAGAUAUUCGGACGAUCACAGUGCGAAGCUGCUCUCCUGACCUGUUUCUGACGCUGAGGCGGCGAAGCGUGGGGAGCAACGGGAUUAGAUACCCUGGUAGUCACGCCAGUAAACGAUGGGUGCUAGGUGUAGGAGGUAUCGACCCCAUCUGUGCCGUAGUUAACACAAUAAGCACCCCGCCUGGGGAGUACGGCCGCAAGGUUGAAACUCAAAGGAAUUGACGGGGGCCCGCACAAGCGGUGGAGCAUGUGGUUUAAUUCGACGCAACGCGAAGAACCUUACCAGGGCUUGACAUCCUCUGACCGCAUAUGAAAGUAUGUUUUCUGGCUUCGGUCAGACAGAGAGACAGGUGGUGCAUGGUUGUCGUCAGCUCGUGUCGUGAGAUGUUGGGUUAAGUCCCGCAACGAGCGCAAC